RNAcentral lists this ribosomal RNA (1466 nucleotides) under uncultured Bordetella sp. RNAcentral's name for it is "partial 16S-23S ribosomal RNA intergenic spacer". It matches the Rfam family "Bacterial small subunit ribosomal RNA". Lineage: Bacteria; Pseudomonadati; Pseudomonadota; Betaproteobacteria; Burkholderiales; Alcaligenaceae. The record is from RNAcentral.
AGUUUGAUUAUGGUAACCAGUUGAACGCUGGCCGGAUCGCACAUGCAAGUCGAACGGCAGCACGGACUUCGGUCUGGUGGCGAGUGGCGAACAGGUGAGUAAUGUAUCGGAACGUGCCUAGUAGCGGGGGAUAACUACGCGAAAGCGUAGCUAAUACCGCAUACGCCCUUCGGAAAGCGGGGGACCUUCAGGCCUCGCACUAUUAGAGCGGCCGAUAUCCCGGAUUAGCUAGUUGGUGGGAAGUAACGGCUCACCAAGGCGACGAUCCGUAAGCUGGUUUAGAAGAGGACGACCAGCCACACCUGGGACUGAGACACAGCCCAGACUCUACAGAGCAACCGGUGGGGAAUUUUGGACAAUGGGGGAAACCCUGAUCCAGCCAUCCCGCGUGUACAUUAGAGGCCUUCGGGUUGUAAAGCACUUUUGGCAGGAAAGAAACGGCACGGGAUAAUACCCCGUGCAACUGACAGUACCUGCAGAAUAAGCACCGGCUAACUACGUGCAGCAGCCGCAGUAAUACGUAGGGUGCAAGCGUUAAUCGGAAUUACUGGGCGUAAAGCGUGCAUAGAGCGUUGGAAGAAAGAUGUGAAAUCCAGAGCUUAACUUUGGAACUACAUUUUUAACUACCGAGCUAGAAAUUAUCAGAGGGAGGUGGAAUUCCGCGUAUGGCAAUCGAUACGGCAAUCUGCGGAGGAACACCGAUGGCGAAGGCAGCCUCCUGGGAUAACACUGACGCUCAUGCACGAAAGCGAUGAGGCAAACGGAUUAGAUACCCGCAGUAGUCGCUAAACAGGUAUAACUAGCUGUUGGGGCCUUCGGGCCUUGGUAGCGCAGCUAACGCAGUUGACCGCCUGGGGAGGUACGGUCGCAAGAUUAAAGCUCAAGGUGUGAGGGCCCGCACAAGCAGUGGAUGAUGUGGAUUAAUUCGAUGCAGCGCGAAAAACCUUACCUACCCUUGACAUGUCACAGAAUCCCCGAAGAUUUAGGAGUGCUCGCAAGAGAACAGAACACAGAUGCUGCAUGGCUGUCGUCACAGCUCGUUGUCGUGAGAUGUUAGGUUAAGUCCGCAACGAGCGCAACCCUUGUCAUUAGUUGCUACGAAAGGGCACUCUAAUGAGACUGCCGGUGACAAACCGGGGGAAGGUGGGGAUGACGUCAAGUCCUCAUGGCCCUUAUGGGUAGGGCUUCACACGUCAUACAAUGGUCGGGACAGAGGGUCGCCAACCCGCGAGGGGAGCCAAUCCCGAGCCCGAUCGUAGUCCGGAUCGCAGUCUGCAACUCGACUGCGUGAAGUCGGAAUCGCUAGUAAUCGCGGAUCAGCAUGUCGCGGUGAAUACGUUCCCGGUCUUGCCUUACCACUGCCGUCACACCAUGGGAGUGGGUUUUACCAGAAGUAGUUAGCCUAACCGUAAAGGAGGCGAUUACCACGGUAGAGUUCAUGACUGGGGUGAAGUCGUAACAGGUAG